GGACUACUGGGGUUUCUAAUCCCGUUUGCUCCCCUGGCUUUCGCGCCUCAGCGUCAGAAGAGAUCCAGCACGUCGCUUUCGCCACCGGCGUUCCUUCUGAUAUCAACGCAUUUCACCGCUCCACCAGAAGUUCCACAUGCCCCUACCUCCCUCUAGACCAGCGGUUUCCAAGGCACUUUUCCGGUUAAGCCGAAAGAUUUCACCCCGGACCCUCUGGCCCGCCUACGCGCCCUUUAAGCCCAGUGAUUCCGAACAACGUUUGGACGGUUCGUCUUACCGCGGCUGCUGGCAC
This 292-nucleotide ribosomal RNA is filed under the name uncultured Planctomycetota bacterium. RNAcentral's name for it is "uncultured planctomycete partial 16S ribosomal RNA". Lineage: Bacteria; Pseudomonadati; Planctomycetota. The record is from RNAcentral.